AAAGUCGUAACAAGGUUUCCGUAGGUGAACCUGCGGAAGGAUCAUUAAUGAAAUGCAAGGAUGCUCUUUUUAGAGGUCCGACCCAAUUCAUUUCCUUACCCUGUGCACAAUACUGUUUUUUACACCCAUUUUUAAACACUAUAGUCUAAGAAUGUCAUAGUCUCUUAACUGAGCAUAAACAUAAUAAAACUUUCGGCAACGGAUCUCUUGGCUCCC
This 216-nucleotide unclassified non-coding RNA is filed under the name Basidiomycota sp. Its description in RNAcentral is "partial contains small subunit ribosomal RNA, internal transcribed spacer 1, and 5.8S ribosomal RNA". The stretch from base 1 to 47 matches the Rfam family "Eukaryotic small subunit ribosomal RNA", at positions 1785 to 1831 of the family's 1831-position model. Lineage: Eukaryota; Fungi; Basidiomycota. The record is from RNAcentral.